AGUGAAGCGGGAAGAGCUCAAAUUUGAAAUCUGGUAGCCUUCGGUUGCCCGAGUUGUAAUCUAGAGAAGUGUUUUCCGUGCCGGCCCAUGUACAAGUCCCUUGGAACAGGGCGUCAUAGAGGGUGAGAAUCCCGUCCUUGACAUGGACCCCCGGUGCUUUGUGAUACACUUUCAACGAGUCGAGUUGUUUGGGAAUGCAGCUCAAAAUGGGUGGUGAAUUCCAUCUAAAGCUAAAUAUUGGCGAGAGACCGAUAGCGAACAAGUACCGUGAGGGAAAGAUGAAAAGCACUUUGGAAAGAGAGUUAAACAGUACGUGAAAUUGUUGAAAGGGAAACGAUUGAAGUCAGUCAUGCUCUUAGGAUUCAGCCGUUCUGCGGUGUAUUUCCUUUGAGUGGGGUCAACAUCAGUUUUGAUCGAUGGAUAAAGGCACGAGGAAGGUAGCACUCUCGGGUGAACUUAUAGCCUCGCGUCAUAUACAUUGAUUGGGACUGAGGAACGCAGCAUGCCUUUAUGG
Molecule: ribosomal RNA, 514 nt
Filed under: Naganishia adeliensis
Lineage: Eukaryota; Fungi; Basidiomycota; Tremellomycetes; Filobasidiales; Filobasidiaceae
Description: eukaryotic LSU rRNA
Rfam family: Eukaryotic large subunit ribosomal RNA
Source: RNAcentral